UACAGAGGGUGCAAGCGUUGUUCGGAAUUAUUGGGCGUAAAGAGCGCGCAGGCGGUCGUUCAAGUCGCGUGUGAAAGCCCCCGGCUCAACUGGGGAGGGUCACGCGAUACUGAUCGACUCGAAGGCAGGAGAGGGAAGUGGAAUUCCCGGUGUAGUGGUGAAAUGCGUAGAUAUCUGGAGGAACACCGGUGGCGAAGGCGGCGUCCUGGACCAACACUGACACUGAUGAGCGAAAGCCAGGGGAGCAAACGGG
This 253-nucleotide ribosomal RNA is filed under the name uncultured bacterium. Its description in RNAcentral is "partial 16S ribosomal RNA". It matches the Rfam family "Bacterial small subunit ribosomal RNA", at positions 524 to 776 of the family's 1533-position model. The record is from RNAcentral.